UAAAAAUAAUGUGGAUGUAAAUAGUAUUUUUUAAAAAUUUUAAAAUUUUAUUAGGGAUAAUUUAGAGGGGGGAUUUACUUGGAAAAAUCGUUGAUGGAAAUAACUGUACCCAUGGAUUUUCCUAUGAGACAACAAGGGUUCUCCAAAUCGAUUCUUUUUCCUACAUGAUUUCUGAUUUUUUGUUGAGUAUUUCUUUGUUGUUGCAUUUUUUGAGGUAUUUACUUUAGGAUUUGUUUGUUUCUUCUGUUACUUUAUUUUUAUGUAAGAAGAUCUAAGUUUUGAAUCGAAGGUUUGGGGAAGAAGGGAUUUUCUGCGAGAAAGCAAACGGGUUAGCAAGUGUACUCCACAUCAGUUAUUUUUCUACAUGAUUUUUGAUUUUGUUGGAUAUUUUUCUUCGUUGUUGCAGUUCUUGAGGUACUUUGUUCAAGAUUUAUUUUUCUCACGAUUUUCAUAAUUUCUCUUUUCGUUGUCUAUACAGAAUCAUUUGACGGGAUUGAUAUUAUAUUUGUAGAUAUUAUGUUCUCACUAACCGUGUUUGUCGAAGUAUUCUUAUCCAAAAUGAGAGUUGAUCAUUUAUUUUUUUCUGAUUUGUAAAAAAAUGUUAUUUAUAAUGUUUUGGAAAAAAAAUAUAAGGUGCUAAAAAAUUGCUGCUAUUGAAUAGUUUCUUUGUUCUAGAAGUUUUAAACCUCAGUUUAUAAUGUAUUUGCCCAAAACAGAAAGAAAAAAUAUGGCACAUGAAACCUAUAACUUCACCACGAGCCAGACCCAUUUGUGUUUCAUCUUAACUGUCAAAACAAGCUUAGGAAAUGCCAUUUAAGCUUCAGCCUUUUUGAUUAAUUUUCUCCUUUAAACUCUCUUAGCAUUUGAGCAAAAAAUUCUUUGUUGCUCUUAUAGAACCCAGGGUUGAAACAGAGAUCAAGGUUACUAUUUCAAGGGUCGGUCCUUGUUAUGAAAGACCUCAAGUCUAGCUACAUUUGGAUUCCUCUUCGACAGAAUUGAAUAAAGGCCAGACUACUGAAGAUACUGUGUUAUGACUAUGAGGUUCUCUUUUCUUUCUUCCUACAACUCGUCUUUAUGUUACAAGAGGGGAAGAGGAUGCUGAUUUUCUUUUAUAAAAACUUGUUAUUUUUUUACUUUGGCUUGGAUAGUUACAUAUUUAUGUGUAUGAAGAUAUCUGGUCUGCACUUAGAACAAAGCAUUUGAUAUUUUUUGUUUUACAUUUAGUACACUAUGAGUGCAAAUCAUUGUCUAAUUUUUCUGAAUAUCAAGACAAACACCUCAGAUGUGCUGGAUACUGUGCAGAUUGAAACAUGUCUACAGUAGAUUAUUUCA
RNA transcript from Olea europaea var. sylvestris, 1332 nucleotides. RefSeq lists it as uncharacterized. The record is from RefSeq and is a predicted model, not a curated record. NCBI's taxonomy places the organism in Eukaryota, Viridiplantae, Streptophyta, Magnoliopsida, Lamiales, Oleaceae. The transcript has 2 exons.